AGCUUGCUAGAUUGAUGGCGAGUGGCGAACGGGUGAGUAAUACAUCGGAACGUGCCCAAUCGUGGGGGAUAACGCAGCGAAAGCUGUGCUAAUACCGCAUACGAUCUACGGAUGAAAGCGGGGGACCUUCGGGCCUCGCGCGAUUGGAGCGGCCGAUGUUAGAUUAGGUAGUUGGUGGGGUAAAGGCUCACCAAGCCGACGAUCUAUAGCUGGUCUGAGAGGAUGUCCAGCCACACUGGGACUGAGACACGGCCCAGACUCC
RNAcentral lists this ribosomal RNA (262 nucleotides) under uncultured bacterium. RNAcentral describes it as "partial 16S ribosomal RNA". It matches the Rfam family "Bacterial small subunit ribosomal RNA", at positions 77 to 339 of the family's 1533-position model. The record is from RNAcentral.